AGCGCAGGUGGUGAUUUAAGUCUGAUGUGAAAGCCCACGGCUCAACCGUGGAAGGUCAUUGGAAACUGGAUCACUUGAGUGCAGAAGAGGAAAGUGGAAUUCCAUGUGUAGCGGUGAAAUGCGUAGAUAUAUGGAGGAACACCAGUGGCGAAGGCGACUUUCUGGUCUGUAACUGACACUGAGGCUCGAAAGCGUGGGGAGCAAACAG
RNAcentral lists this ribosomal RNA (208 nucleotides) under uncultured Bacilli bacterium. Its description in RNAcentral is "partial 16S ribosomal RNA". It matches the Rfam family "Bacterial small subunit ribosomal RNA", at positions 568 to 775 of the family's 1533-position model. Lineage: Bacteria; Bacillati; Bacillota; Bacilli. The record is from RNAcentral.